ACGCUGGCGGCGUGCUUAAUACAUGCAAGCCAACUUGACUUUAGAUAGCAAUAUCGAAAAGUAGGGUGGCGCACGGGUGCGUAACGCGUAGGUAAUCUGCCCUGAGGUCUGACAUAACCCGUCGAAAGGCGGGCUAACAUCAGAUGAUAUAUAGUCACGACAUCGUGGAAAUAUCAAAUCUUCGGAGCCUUGGGAUGAGCCUGCGUCUGAUUAGGUAGUUGGCGGAGUAAUAGCCCACCAAGCCUACGAUCAGUAGCUGGUCUGAGAGGAUGAUCAGCCACACUGGAACUGAGACACGGUCCAGACUCCUACGGGAGGCAGCAGUAAGGAAUAUUGCUCAAUGGGGGGAAACCCUGAAGCAGCAACGCCGCGUGAAGGAUGAAAUACUUUGUAUGUAAACUUCUGUAAGAUGGGAAAAAUAUUCUCCUUGGGAGAAUUGAUUGUACCAUCAGAGUAAGCCCCGGCUAACUACGUG
This 475-nucleotide ribosomal RNA is filed under the name uncultured bacterium. RNAcentral's name for it is "bacterial SSU rRNA". It matches the Rfam family "Bacterial small subunit ribosomal RNA", at positions 33 to 507 of the family's 1533-position model. The record is from RNAcentral.